Pelobates cultripes (western spadefoot toad) is the source of this 254-nucleotide non-coding RNA. NCBI's taxonomy places the organism in Eukaryota, Metazoa, Chordata, Amphibia, Anura, Pelobatidae. The record is from the annotation of a GenBank genome assembly.
CCAUUGCUUGUAGAGUCAAGGUUAUCAGUGACAACUCUCUUCAGCUGUGUCUGGUCAGGUGUCUGGUUCUUGGCCUAUAAAAGCCACUUCCGGUCUCUGUACCUUUGCCAGAUUAUUGUGGUUCCUGUACUCUCUAAUCAAGCGUGUUCCUAUUUCUCCUUCCUGUUGCUGAAUUUGGACUGUUUUGACUUUGCUGCUUAUCCUUCCCACUGACCUCGGCUUGCCUCACUGCGAUUAUCAUCUUUCUGUUCCAG